RNAcentral lists this ribosomal RNA (496 nucleotides) under uncultured bacterium. Its description in RNAcentral is "partial 16S ribosomal RNA". It matches the Rfam family "Bacterial small subunit ribosomal RNA", at positions 29 to 507 of the family's 1533-position model. The record is from RNAcentral.
AUGAACGCUGGCGGCGUGCCUCAUACAUGCAAGUCGCGCGAACAGACGAGGAGCUUGCUCCUCUGACGUUAGCGGCGGACGGGUGAGUAACACGUGGAUAACCUUCCUAUAAGACUGGGAUAACUUCGGGAAACCGGAGCUAAUACCGGAUAAUAUAUUGAACCGCAUGGUUCAAUAGUGAAAGACGGUUUUGCUGUCACUUAUAGAUGGAUCCGCGCCGCAUUAGCUAGUUGGUAAGGUAACGGCUUACCAAGGCAACGAUGCGUAGCCGACCUGAGAGGGUGAUCGGCCACACUGGAACUGAGACACGGUCCAGACUCCUACGGGAGGCAGCAGUAGGGAAUCUUCCGCAAUGGGCGAAAGCCUGACGGAGCAACGCCGCGUGAGUGAUGAAGGUCUUCGGAUCGUAAAACUCUGUUAUUAGGGAAGAACAAAUGUGUAAGUAACUAUGCACGUCUUGACGGUACCUAAUCAGAAAGCCACGGCUAACUACGUG